GACGAAGGAUGCAAGCGUUAUCCGGAUUUAUUGGGUUUAAAGGGAGCGUAGGUGGUCCUAUAAGUCAGUGGUGAAAGCCGGUCGCUUAACGAUCGAACUGCCAUUGAUACUGUAGGACUUGAGUACAGAUGCCGUUGGCGGAAUAUGACAUGUAGUGGUGAAAUACAUAGAGAUGUCAUAGAACACCGAUUGCGAAGGCAGCUAACGAAACUGUAACUGACACUGAGGCUCGAAAGUGUGGGGAUCAAACAGG
This 253-nucleotide ribosomal RNA is filed under the name uncultured bacterium. RNAcentral describes it as "partial 16S ribosomal RNA". It matches the Rfam family "Bacterial small subunit ribosomal RNA", at positions 524 to 776 of the family's 1533-position model. The record is from RNAcentral.